CGACGCGCAACCGGCGGAGAACCGUUAAUCCCACGAGAACACGGCUGGCCCGUGGCCUGCUCGAGGAUCACGGACACUCCGCUUAUCGUUGAAUCAGCACGCAGUCACAAGGUUCGCCACACGUCCGAAUCUAAUCGAAGGGAUGGCUUACCUUAGUGUGUAGGCCCGAGAAGAAAGUGCGUCGCGGGGCAGAGUACGACGACAUGUUGAUCUUGUUGACGACCAUUGUCAUGGCAGCACCGAAGCCCGUCUCCUCGUUCGAUCGUGGUCCACGUAAUUUCUCUGUUCAAUCGGCACGCAACUCUUCGUUCCGUGCCAGCAUCGACGCCUCCUCACUCAUUCGAACAGUCCUCGACAACUUUGCUUCACUGUUUCUCUCCCUCGCAUAGCGCGCGAGACUUUUAACCGCGCGAACGUUCACCGCGAAUUAUUUCCGCCUCGUUGCACAGCGUAAGGCACGAAGCACGACGCGUCGAUCGAAUCGUCCCAACGAAAUCCUUCUUCGACACCGAAUGCACAGCUGCUUGACUCGAAACGAACCACUCUGUUGAACUUUCGAUGAUAGCGGUGGAGAUCGCGAGGCGAUAACGAUACCAACAACAAAACCGAUCAGAGGUACGCGCGACACUGACCGCGCGGCGCGGCGCGACCCUCUAUAUAGCCUCCCCACCACCGCGAGUCGCGGCCAAUCGGCGUGCGUUCAGCUGGCGCGGCGGCUCGGCGCGCAGAUACGAAAAGUGGUAGCGCGCUCGCUGGUGCAUCAGUGUCGCCGUGACCUUCGAACUCGGAGGGUUGUGUCUAACGCGAUGUGAAUCGACCGCGAGAAGGGAUAGAGAGCCGAUCAUUGGAGAUCGUCGGGAACGAAACGACGCGAAAAGCACCGGUGGUAGGGCACGGAGGCUGGAUGUACGCGAACUACGAUGUUCGAUCGACCCGUGAUUGGCCGUUGCGGAGAUCCCCUUCGUCCACGGGAUUUCGAAUUGUCCGCGAUCUUCUUUUAAGUGUCAUUCCUGACCUGCACGCGACGAACACUGUUGAAUGUACAUUAGAGAGAUGGGAAUGUAUUAGAAUCUUUUUAUGGUUUGAUUGUUUUGGAGCAGCCAAUUUUCUAUCGACACUUGCGAUACAACGAAUCCUUCUGUUUUUAUAAUCUCUUCAGACUUCAUCAGCGACGCGUUCUGUUUAUACAUGUCAUCCAUUUUCUUUUUGCCAAUUCCCAAUAACUCGAUAAAACGAAUGACGGCUUUGACGAUGCCGAAACUGGUUUCGAACUUUCCGUGAAUCGCGUUAAUUGGACGACGAUUCGAUCGACUUUGGAUCCAGGACGUGGCGCGAUCGUUAAAAAAUUAAUAGUCGUCCGUGUUUUGCGAGUUUACAGCGAGUUCGAGCCGCGAUUUCGUUCCUCCAUAUAAAAUUUUUUACAAAGCCACCACGACGUGCUAAUUCGCCUAACAUAGCGCGUUUCGCGUGGAUCCGAACGAAACGUAUCCUAAAACGUUUCAAUAUUUGAUUCUUAACACCUCGCGGGUCGGGAUCGCGUCAGCGUGUGUUUUUUUGGCACGUUUCGAGAACCGCGGCCGAGCGGAUGCGUAAAUUCUGUCGCGUUGCCGUAAACAUGCCUCAACGUGUCCGCAUCAACAUUUGCAUUACAUUUUAUUUGCCUCUGUGUAAUUAUUUAAUCGCGUUACAUCACUCGAGAACGUGUGCACGAGAGAAAAGCACCGCUAGCAGCGUUCUCGGAAAACCUUCACCGGUCGUUUACCGAGUUCCACAAAAUCCUAAUUCCAAAUUUCUCGUGGGAAGUAUUCAUUCAGAGAACGUGGUACGUGUUGGGAAAAUGAUUGCUCAGAAACAAAGUUGUGGAAAAUCGGUUGGCAGUUUGGGGAACCACCAAAUUUGAUAGAAAGAAAAGAGAAACGUAAUACAAGUUAUUUUCUGGCUCGUUAAUGAGUUUCGUUGAUACGCAUAUACCUAUUAUUAUCGAAAAUAAAAUAUAAAAACACGCGAGGAAAUUGUAUCCGAAUAAAUCACUGCGUUCGUUAUUUGUACCCAUGUAUUAAAUGAUAAAGAAGAAGGUAUCGGAGGAAUUCCUAUUUUCUUCUUAGAGUCGAGAAGCCACGCGAUAGCCGCGACUAACGAUCAACGAGACAACGCGCGAGUGUCGCUGCUGGCAAGGUGACGGAUCUGCACUUCCAUUACGUGAUUCGUAACGAGAUGGAAAAUAUUCAUGGGCGAAACCUUUUUUUUCCCCCUUGCAGACCAUUCGCAGCAUCCGGCGUUGUUUUUAUGUAAAUUUUUCUAAUUGCGCCCCGAAGCUUUCGGGCGAGUUUUUUCCUCGAUGGUCGCCGUUUCCUGGACGCGCACCAGGUCACAGUGUUAUUAUUCCCGCUGCAUUGCGCAGUUGUCGAAGGUAGACUCUAAUAAACACAAGGUUGCAAAAGUGAUUCAUCGAAUUGAGGAAUUAAUUAUCAUCUAUACAUGGUACCUGGAUCAUUUUGGGCACAAGGGAAAUUUCAGACCUCGAGUGGAAUAGAUACGGACAAGUCAGAGAAAUCUGUAAAUCGAUUUUAACAUACGAAAUAUACAAUCCCAGUUUAAUAUUUUUCGAUAAUUUCGAUAUAAAAGCAAUCGUACGCGUAGGCACGUGUCAGUAAUCCCGGGGAGGUUAAAUAACAAUGAAUUUUAACGCGGGAUCGUUCGACGACAACUCGUGAAAAAUUGUUUUAAUCUCGUUGUACACGGGCAGCCGAACUCUGGCAUUGUAAAUCAGUGGCAGGCGUCGGCGUCGGUGGCAGCAUCGCGUUCAGCCGCGUCCCGACGCCAUUAAUUUCGUCGGAGCACGAUGAUGGAGCCCAGGGUUCCUAUUUGCGACUACGCGAAAAGAAAACGACCGCUUAGGAGAGGCAGAAUCGUAGAAAGGAAAAGAAACGAGGGUACGUGAACAGGCAUCGGCGACGCGGAGUCGCGUGUAAAUUUAUCUCCACCGCGAACUGCACGCGCCUUUCUUCGGGCGAGCGAACUUUCCAUGUGCACCGUUCGCGCCUCGAAUCGACCAGUCCGCGUCGAGGCGAAUCGAGAAUCGAAGCGGUUGAAAAGUACGCGUGUAAAUCGUAAAGUAACAUAGGUAGGACGCCAGCUUGGAUUUGAACGGGUACACUCAAAUGUUGCCGACGUUAUUUAUUAAAGAUAAGUACUUGACUGGCGAAGGUAGGACUCGAUUGAAUUUUAGUUCGAGUUAAGACUCUCUUACUCAAUUAUUAAAAGCAAAGCUUGCGAAGCUAGAGAAGGUGGAAACUAAUUGAAUUUUGGUCUCCCUGUUCUUCGAAUUAAGACUCUCCACCUGAUGAACACCGCCCUUCUGAAACGAUUUCUGCCAACGAACUAUGAAUACAAUGGUGUAUCGAAUUAAAAGAAGAACACAGAAUCUGGAGAAAAAAAUGAUCUGGAUCGCGUCGACGGAAGCGACGGGAACAAAGCGGAAAGAAGACGAAACGAUCGUUAAUGGCUCGUAAUGACGACGGGACGUGAAUUGCUCGGCGUAACUGUAAUUUGCGCCUUUUUUCUGCCCUCUUCCUCUCGCCUCGACUGUUUACUUAUGUAAUGCUUGUGCAAUAAUUACCGAUGUUUAAGCAAUUGACCGCCUCCGGCGUUACCGAGGGCAAAAAAAGAAACGCUCUCGAGCGACUCGAAUUGGACGCCGAGAUGCGUGGAUAAACAAUCAAUAUUUAAUGACUGCGCGCUGCCUCGAUGGCGAUCGUUUAACCUUUCGUUGCUGAGACUCGAUGCGCCAGGAUUGAUCGAAGCUUGAAAACUAUGGUAAUUAUAUUUAGGCUCUUUCUUCCUCUGAAAUUGAUCUAUCUUCUUAUUAUUCUAUAUACAAAGUCCCCUGGUGAGAAUAAGCACAAUGUUCUUGUACUUAUAACGAUUUAAAUGUUUACGUCCGUUGGCACAGUCCCCUCCGUAGCAAAGGCCAGUAUUACCUGAGGAGGGCAUCAGUUUAAUGCACCCCCAGAGCGUCUCGGUUUUCCGAGUAAGAACAUCGUUUCUGUUUUGUAAAACGCGUACUAUUAAACA
Hylaeus volcanicus is the source of this 4074-nucleotide long non-coding RNA. RefSeq lists it as uncharacterized. The record is from RefSeq and is a predicted model, not a curated record. NCBI's taxonomy places the organism in Eukaryota, Metazoa, Arthropoda, Insecta, Hymenoptera, Colletidae. The transcript is spliced from 3 exons.